Molecule: ribosomal RNA, 253 nt
Filed under: uncultured bacterium
Lineage: Bacteria
Description: partial 16S ribosomal RNA
Rfam family: Bacterial small subunit ribosomal RNA
Source: RNAcentral
UACGAAGGGGGCUAGCGUUGUUCGGAUUUCCUGGGCGUAAAGCGCACGUAGGCGGAUCGUUAAGUCAGGGGUGAAAUCCUGGAGCUCAACUCCAGAACUGCCUUUGAUACUGGCGAUCUUGAGUCCGGAAGAGGUGAGUGGAACUCCUAGUGUAGAGGUGGAAUUCGUAGAUAUUAGGAAGAACACCAGUGGCGAAGGCGGCUCACUGGUCCGGUACUGACGCUGAGGUGCGAAAGCGUGGGGAGCAAACAGG